This 212-nucleotide ribosomal RNA is filed under the name uncultured prokaryote. RNAcentral's name for it is "partial 16S ribosomal RNA". It matches the Rfam family "Bacterial small subunit ribosomal RNA", at positions 524 to 735 of the family's 1533-position model. The record is from RNAcentral.
GACGGGGGGUCCUAGCGUUGUUCGGAAUCAUUGGGCGUAAAGCGUGUGCAGGUGGUUUGGAAAGUUAGAUGUGAAAUCCUUGGGCUUAACCCAAGAAGUGCAUUUAAAACUCCCAAACUUGAGUAAGGAAGAGGGUCGUGGAAUUCCAGGUGUAGUGGUGAAAUACGUAGAUAUCUGGAGGAACACCGGCGGCGAAGGCGGCGACCUGGUCC